Non-coding RNA from Ictidomys tridecemlineatus (thirteen-lined ground squirrel), 72 nucleotides. The record is from Rfam. NCBI's taxonomy places the organism in Eukaryota, Metazoa, Chordata, Mammalia, Rodentia, Sciuridae.
UGAGGUGUAGCCUGGUAGUAGAGCACUCACCUAGCAUGUCUGAGGCCCUGGGUUUGAUUCCCAGCACUGUAU